Long non-coding RNA from Lynx canadensis (Canada lynx), 2783 nucleotides. RefSeq lists it as uncharacterized. Lineage: Eukaryota; Metazoa; Chordata; Mammalia; Carnivora; Felidae. The transcript is spliced from 2 exons. The record is from RefSeq and is a predicted model, not a curated record.
GUUUUAACUCUCCCAGUCUGUGGCACUUUGUUAUGGUUGCCCUAGGAAACUAAUGACUCCUGUGUUUUCUUGUACCCUGCACCACCUGGUUCGAAGUAUGACUGCCCUUGGGCAAAAUCUCAUUGUGUUUGUGUUUUAUAGGUCCAGUCCUCUUUCAUUCCACUCUUCCAUUUCGGUCAGAUUACAGGAGUCUAGUGCAAUGAACUAAAAUGGAAGAGCCCAUUGGCUUAUAAAGGGGAACACCACGUGAAGAGAGAGCCACACAGGAGAGAGGGAAUGCCGUGUGACCGUGGAGACAGAGACCGAGAUACUGACAUUUCAAGCCAAGUGCUAUUGAAAAAAAAAGGAGGUUUUCUAUUACCGUCUCUGUUCUGAGGUGAGUAAGAGACAGGGUUUUGAAGCAGGAAGAGCUAAGACAGAGGAAGGAACCAGUAUGCACCGAGGACCACUGCAAACACCUCACUUAGUUCUGACACCAUGUAUGGUGAGUAUUCCUUUUCUCACUUUCCAGACGAAGAAACUUUAGUCAAAGAUAACAGAUACCCAGCUCAAGGUCCCACGGUGAGCAAGGGGCCGAGAGAAUUCCAAACAGAGGCCUGAUUCCACAGCCUGUGAUCUUUCUAUGUUAUGCAAAAGUGAUCAAGACAAUAGGUAAAAUCUCAGUCGGUGCCCAUUGUACUUGCUCUGAGACAAGGAGGAAGGGGAGCCUCGAUGAAGCCAUGUAGUUAAGUUACAGAGAAGUAAUAGAGCCUCAUGGUCAGGGUGACCAUCCUGCUGGAGUUCCAGUGUCACCUACCUUCACGCACUGACUAGCGGUGUGGCCUUUGCCACGUGGCUCUGUCUCUCUUGGCCUCAGCCUCCUGCCUGACAUUUGGCGUUAAUGGGGACAGGGAUUAUGGAGCUAUUGUGAAAUUAAAUGAGCAUCACACAAAAGCACUUAGAAUAGAGCCUGUCACACAGGCAGCACAACAUAAGUGCUUGUCGCUGUUGUUAUUUUUUAUUAUUCAAUAUACGACCCGUGGCAAGGUCUCCGCUUCCACCGGAAAAGGCAUAAUGAACCUCCAGGGUGCCUGUGUCCUGUGUGUGGUUCCCAGGACAUGCUGCUUGCUGGUGUGCUCCCUGCCACCGUGAUUUCCAAAAUCUCAGGCGAGCGGGGAUGUUAUGUUUCUAAUUGGACAACUGUCUGCUGGGUGCGCUAAUAGCAUCUUUCACAAGGCUUGUUGGUGAUGCAGGGCAACUGCUGUAAUGUUUCGUAGCCAUUCGUAAGAGCACGAUUGAGAAGGAGAAGGCUAACAUGUAAUUUGCAGUCAUGACUUCCGGCACCAGCUCAGACAAUGUCUCUGUGGUUCUGGUGCUUGAAUCUCUGUCUGCUGGUUCUCUGAAGGCUGUUGGACGCCAGCCCCUUGUCCAGCUGCUCUGUCUUCCCAUCAGGACUGCCAGCCUCUGGGGAGCUCCCUAACUUCUGAAACAAAUGGUCUGUGGUGUCCCGUGUAAAUUGUGUGAACUGUGAACUGAUAGCUGAACCUGGGAGGCUGAGCUGGUGUGGAAGAAGAACAAACCGAGUGUGAUAUUCUUUUUGGACAUUUUGGAUGCUUAAUUUUUUUUUUUUUUCUGAAUUCUGGUGAGUAUUUUUCUAGGACUGCAGUGACCUGCUCGCACCUGAUGGCCAACCAUAUUUUCUUCGUCUCCUAUGGUGUGCUUAUCAGAAAAAUGGACCAGACCCAAUAGACAGAGCCAACGUGACUUUGGGGAUUUUGCUCAUUGAGUAUUGCACACAAGGGUUGGCUUAGAGUACACGGAUUAGAGUUCUCUAGGCCAUCUUGAUGUUUCUGUCUGUCAGAGCAUCCAGUCCUUGGACUUAAUAAUUCCAAAUACAAGGCCUUUCAUUUAAAUGAAAAAACAAACAAAAAAACAAAAAACCAACCAAAUCACAAACUGAACGCCACUUUCUGGAUUGUUCAAGAAACAUUAGGAUGUGUAGUAUGUUUCAGAGCUGGAUUACGAUGUGAGGGUAUAAAAAAUAUGGAACAAGAGAAAAAAUAAAAAAAGAAGAUGCUCUAGAGAAAGCAAAAUAGUCUACAAGUAUGUAAUGAUCCCAAAGCAAAGUAAUCAGGUAAAAGUCUGUAGAUUUCAAGACAUGGAUUUCACACAAUUGAUAGAAAGUAGACAAAAUGAAAUAGAAAGUAUUAUGCAUGAUUCCUAUGCAAAUAAAUUAGAAUGCAGACACACUCACAACCCUAUCUUCCCAUCUGAUACAUUCACACAGAUGAAAGGGCUCUAUAAACACUGUUCUGUGCCUCCCAUUUCUUUUGUCUUCAUAUAUAUUGUGGAAGUUUUCAUACUGGUACGUACUAUUCCUUUUAUGUCAUUCUAGCACGUUAUUUUUCAUGGCUCAAGGCAUUUCAUUGUAUAAAUGCAUCUUAAUCUAUAUCCAUAAUCACCUAUUAAUGAACAGGUAGAUUGUUUCCAGCAUUUAAUUUUUUUAUUUCUUUUCCAAGCAAUACUGCGAUGAAUAUCCCUAGCCAUAAAUCACUGAGUGCAUAUGUGGGUAUGUCUAUAAGAAAAAAAAAAUCGUUGGAGGGGACUUUCUGAGCUAAAGUAUAUUGUAAUACAUAUUGACCUUUUGCCAAAUUGACCUUCAAAGAGGUUAUGCCAAUACAUACUCCCAUUACCACCAUGUGAAUAUCUGUUUCUGCAAAAUCUUGCCCACGCCAUGUUUUGUAAUCCUUUUAAUUGUUGCCAAUCUGUUAAGUAAAAAUAAACACAAUAUCCUGUUGUUUUAA